CCGGGAGGGUCUGGGGUCGGUUCGGGUUUUUAAAUGACGAACGGCCACAACGGGGGCUCUUGUGCCCUCGCUGCCUUGGGCAGGGAAAAGCCUUCUCGCUUGGAAGUUUCGUUUGAAAGAGAUGUCGGGCGAGGAGGGCGGAGCUUGGCAGGGACGGAGCACGGCGGAGGAGGCGGAACCCCGGCCUUGGCGCGGCCGGAUGAGCCAUGGCAGCGCCGCACGUGUCCGACAAAGCCUUACCUGAUGGAAGCCCCACCAAAGCAAAGGGAAUGAUUGGCUAAGUCCCUUACCGAGUUUUUGUCCCUUUUUCAAUUAACAGUGCUAAUGAAGUUCUUCCCAUUAUCAUUAAGUUUCCCGCAAAUGUUAGCUCCACGCUGUAAAACAGCAUUGUAUGAUCAGUUAGCUCCUGCCCAGGGCCUCGGCCCCGCUUCCUACAGUCCUGUUUUCCGACAAAAAGAGCCAUUCUUCUGCAUCUCCCACAGCCAGACAGCGCAGCACCAUCUUUGUUCCUUUAAAAGUCUUCUAAAGUGGAAUUCCUUAGCUGGAAUUUCUGGGAACACAUCAGCUGUUCAGAAAGGACCCUGGAAUUCCAGCCUAUAAACCCUACAAAUCUCUCUGUAAUUCCUAGAAAGAACAAGGAUAUACCGGGAAAACACAAAGAAAUUUUCAGAGAGUGAUGGAAAAUUCCUAGAGUCCAGUCUGAGUUCCUAAAAAGCCUACUGAAAAUCCACAGAAAGCCCACUGAAAUUUCUAGAAGGCCCAUGGAUAUUUUAUAAAUAGCACCAGUUAAAUCCUAGGAACAGGAAAUUUCUAAGUGUUAGUUUGUGUUCUCACUGCUCCCUGGGUGUGUGACAAUUAGCAUUUGAGUUAGCUUUGGAGUUGCUGUGAGUGCUGUUAAGUGGUCAGGGUGGUGAGUGAGCUGGCAACUGAGAUUUCUGGGUUUGGAUAUUUCUAUACUAAGUACCAAAUUUCUAUGUAUAUAAAAAAGCAUAGUGAUUAUACACCUCAAACUUCUAACAACAUAAACAGUGGAUAUACUCUGUAUUUAAAGGGAGUAUCUCUACACCAGAGGCUUCAUCUUUCUGUUCCCCACACGCUUUCAGGGAUCCCACAAUAGCAAACUUUAACUAUUAAUGUUGAGGUUUUACCUACUUGAGCCUGUCAGGCACUUUGCUUAUCCCUGAGGGAGAAAGGACUGGCUCCCUUGUCCAUUCAUAGCCCCCUCACCUCCACUGUGAGUGCAGCCUUCUGGAUCCUUGCUCCAGCCAAAUGAUUCCAUGAGGCUGUGAACUCCUCCUCCAGUUUGUCACCUGUCCUUUUAACUUUUUAAAGGAGUGAAAGACUCACCUUAGAGAGUGGCUCCAAGGUUUUGAAGCAGAACAGCUGCAGCUGCCCUUCUCUGUAAAGGCAGCUGCACUUUCCCGUGUUUCCUCUCACCUGCUUUGUUUUGGUGAUGAUCAGGCACUGCCCAUGGCCAAAGAAAUGGACUUAGAGAGUCUAAUUUUUCAGGCUGAUGUGCCUCCAGCUGGCUUUCUCCUCUGAGAAUCCAGACAGAACUGACACCGUGCCCUGAGCAGGAUGGUGGGAAGGGUGUGUGGGAUCUGGGCUUUGCUUGAUUGUAUUUUUUUGUUCGUUUUCUCCUCACAUUCUUGCAGAAUUUCUCCUCUGGUGAGCAGGCAAGGCUGCUAUGCCUUGUGUCAUGCUCCUGGGCUUCUUGGGGAGGGACACUUUUUUGGAGAGGUGCUGCCCAUGGAAGGGAACAUCCACUGCCGGCCAGCACCUGGGCUAAGGCUCAAGGUGGCCCCAGAGGUGGGCUGAAAACCCAACCUGUCACCAACACCAAGAGCAGCAAGCAAGAGAAGAGCCUGGGGCUGGCUGGCCUGCAGGGGUGAGGGUGGAGAGUGCUUCAGCUGCCAGGAUGCAGGAGAUAAAUGGCCAAUAUCAUCACUGUUAGCAGCAGUGCCCACCCUCCACACUGAAAGGCAAGGAGGAAGAGCUUUGCCUGGCCCUGGAAGGAAGGGGAAAGAGGGAGGCUGACACUGCUGUGAUGGAGAGAGCCAUUUCAGGUUCAUUCUUGGCUCCACUCCAUUGGAGAACAGAUCUGGAUGAUGCUGAGAACUGCAAGCUCUAACCAGCAACCUGAGACAUUUCAACUUGAGGGACUUCUGCCUGAAGCCUAGGACUCAAAACUGGCUUUCAUUCCCACAUUUCUGCUCAGUAUCCCUUGGCUUUGCAGAGAACAAAGACAGACUAUCCCAUUGCUAUAGUAACAUUAACCAAAAUAAACCAUCUGCUAGAAAAGCU
Non-coding RNA from Cyanistes caeruleus (blue tit), 2304 nucleotides. NCBI's taxonomy places the organism in Eukaryota, Metazoa, Chordata, Aves, Passeriformes, Paridae. The record is from RefSeq and is a predicted model, not a curated record.